RNAcentral lists this ribosomal RNA (325 nucleotides) under uncultured Actinomycetes bacterium. Its description in RNAcentral is "bacterial SSU rRNA". It matches the Rfam family "Bacterial small subunit ribosomal RNA", at positions 28 to 351 of the family's 1533-position model. The record is from RNAcentral. Lineage: Bacteria; Bacillati; Actinomycetota; Actinomycetes.
GACGAACGCUGGCGGCGUGCUUAACACAUGCAAGUGGAGCGACGAACCAGGGCUUGCCCUGGGGCAGAGCCGCGAACGGGUGAGUAACACGUGGGUAACCUACCUUGAUGACCGGGACAACCCGAGGAAACUCGGGCUAAUACCGGAUGUGCUCCUUCCACAUCAGUGGAUUGAGGAAAGAUAGCUUCGGCCUUCGCAUCAAGAUGGGCCCGCGGAGCAUUAGUUGUGGUGGGUAACGCCUACCAGACUUCGAUGCUUAGCUGGUCUGAGAGGACGAUCAGCCACACUGGGACUGAGACACGGCCCAGACUCCUACGGGAGGCAG